RNAcentral lists this small nuclear RNA (20 nucleotides) under Arabidopsis thaliana (thale cress). Its description in RNAcentral is "snRNA_04011". Lineage: Eukaryota; Viridiplantae; Streptophyta; Magnoliopsida; Brassicales; Brassicaceae. The record is from RNAcentral.
UGGAAGUCGAAAUCCGCUAA